This 497-nucleotide ribosomal RNA is filed under the name uncultured bacterium. Its description in RNAcentral is "partial 16S ribosomal RNA". It matches the Rfam family "Bacterial small subunit ribosomal RNA", at positions 28 to 507 of the family's 1533-position model. The record is from RNAcentral.
GAUGAACGCUGGCGGCGUGCCUAAUACAUGCAAGUCGAGCGAACGGACGAGAAGCUUGCUUCUCUGAUGUUAGCGGCGGACGGGUGAGUAACACGUGGAUAACCUACCUAUAAGACUGGGAUAACUUCGGGAAACCGGAGCUAAUACCGGAUGAUAUUUUGAACCGCAUGGUUCAAAAGUGAAAGACGGUCUUGCUGUCACUUAUAGAUGGAUCCGCGCUGCAUUAGCUAGUUGGUAAGGUAAUGGCUUACCAAGGCAACGAUGGAUAGCCGACCUGAGAGGGUGAUCGGCCACACUGGAACUGAGACACGGUCCAGACUCCUACGGGAGGCAGCAGUAGGGAAUCUUCCGCAAUGGGCGAAAGCCUGACGGAGCAACGCCGCGUGAGUGAUGAAGGUCUUCGGAUCGUAAAACUCUGUUAUUAGGGAAGAACAUAUGUGUAAGUAACUGUGCACAUCUUGACGGUACCUAAUCAGAAAGCCACGGCUAACUACGUG